GAGAGAGAGAGAGAGACAGAGAAGCGCCGCUCGCUUCGGACCCGCCGCCGCCGCCCCUCCUGACGGGCCUGCGGCUCCGGGCGGACGGAGGAUGGCGGGGGCUCCGACCCAGCUGGAAGCCGAGCUCUACUACCUGAUCGCCCGCUUCCUCCAGUCCGGACCCUGCAAGAAAUCGGCUCAGGUGCUGGUGGCCGAGCUGGAGGAGCACCAG
Molecule: non-coding RNA, 211 nt
Organism: Thamnophis sirtalis
Lineage: Eukaryota; Metazoa; Chordata; Lepidosauria; Squamata; Natricidae
Source: RefSeq, a predicted model, not a curated record